GACGAACGCUGGCGGCGUGCUUAACACAUGCAAGUCGAACGGAAAGGCCCUGCUUUUGUGGGGUGCUCGAGUGGCGAACGGGUGAGUAUCACGUGAGUAACCUGCCCUUUACUUUGGGGUAACUUCAGGAAACUGGAGCUAAUACCGGAUAUGAACUCCUUCUGCAUGGGUUUUGUUGGAAAGUGUCGGAGGUUGGGGAUGGACUCGCGGCUUAUCAGCUUGUUGGUGGGGUAGUGGAUUACCAAGGCUUUGACGGGUAGCCGGCCUGAGAGGGUGACCGGCCACAUUGGGACUGAGAUAGGGGCCAGACUCCUACGGGAGGCAGCAGUGGGGAAUAUUGCAAACUGGGCGGAAGCAUGAUGCAGCAACGCCGCGUGCGGGAUGACGGCCUUCGGGUUGUAAACCGCUUUCGACUGUGACGAAGAGUGAGUGACGGUAAUGGGUAAAGAAGCACCGGCUAACUACGUG
RNAcentral lists this ribosomal RNA (468 nucleotides) under uncultured bacterium. RNAcentral describes it as "partial 16S ribosomal RNA". It matches the Rfam family "Bacterial small subunit ribosomal RNA", at positions 28 to 507 of the family's 1533-position model. The record is from RNAcentral.